CCUACGGGUGGCAGCAGUGAGGAAUAUUGGUCAAUGGGCGUAAGCCUGAACCAGCCAAGCCGCGUGCAGGAUGACGGUUCUAUGAAUUGUAAACCUCUUUUAUACGGGAAUAAAUUGCGUUACGUGUCGCGUUUUGAAAGUACCUUACGAAUAAGGAUCGGCUAACUCCGUGCCAGCAGCCGCGGUAAUACGGAGGAUCCGAGCGUUAUCCGGAUUUAUUGGGUUUAAAGGGUGCGUAGGCUGCUUUAUAAGUCAGCGGUGAAAGACUGAGGCUCAACCAUGGAAGUGCCGUUGAAACUGGAGGUCUAGAGUAGGGAUGGAGCAGGCGGAAUGCGUGGUGUAGCGGUGAAAUGCUUAGAUAUCACGCAGAACACCGAUUGCGAAGGCAGCCUGCCAGGCCAUGACUGACGCUGAUGCACGAAAGCGUGGGGAUCGAACAGGAUUAGAUACCCGGGUAGUC
This 460-nucleotide ribosomal RNA is filed under the name uncultured bacterium. RNAcentral's name for it is "partial 16S ribosomal RNA". It matches the Rfam family "Bacterial small subunit ribosomal RNA", at positions 338 to 795 of the family's 1533-position model. The record is from RNAcentral.